RNAcentral lists this ribosomal RNA (234 nucleotides) under uncultured Lactobacillus sp. Its description in RNAcentral is "partial 16S ribosomal RNA". It matches the Rfam family "Bacterial small subunit ribosomal RNA", at positions 129 to 355 of the family's 1533-position model. The record is from RNAcentral. Lineage: Bacteria; Bacillati; Bacillota; Bacilli; Lactobacillales; Lactobacillaceae.
CCCAACGAGAUCGGGAUAGCACCUGGAAACAGAUGCUAAUACCGGAUAACAACAGAUGAUGCCUAUCAACUGUUUAAAAGAUGGUUCUGCUAUCACUCUUGGAUGGACCUGCGGUGCAUUAGCUAGUUGGUAGGGUAACGGCCUACCAAGGCGAUGAUGCAUAGCCGAGUUGAGAGACUGAUCGGCCACAUUGGGACUGAGACACGGCCCAAACUCCUACGGGAGGCAGCAGCC